This 422-nucleotide ribosomal RNA is filed under the name uncultured bacterium. RNAcentral's name for it is "bacterial SSU rRNA". It matches the Rfam family "Bacterial small subunit ribosomal RNA", at positions 355 to 776 of the family's 1533-position model. The record is from RNAcentral.
UGAGGAAUAUUGCGCAAUGGGCGAAAGCCUGACGCAGCCACGCCGCGUGCAGGAAGACACCCCUCUGGGGCGUAAACUGCUUUUGUGCGAGAAGAAGGCGCUCCUCGGGAGCGAUUGACGGUACCGCACGAAUAAGGACCGGCUAACUCCGUGCCAGCAGCCGCGGUAAUACGGAGGGUCCAAGCGUUGUCCGGAAUCACUGGGUGUAAAGGGUGCGUAGGCGGAUUUGUAAGUCAGAGGUGAAAGCCCACGGCUUAACCGUGGAACUGCCUUUGAUACUGCAAGUCUUGAGUCCUGGAGGGGCUGGCGGAAUUCGUGGUGUAGCGGUGAAAUGCGUAGAUAUCACGAGGAACACCGGAGGUGUAGACGGCCAGCUGGACAGGUACUGACGCUGAGGCACGAAAGCGUGGGGAGCGAACAGG